Molecule: ribosomal RNA, 254 nt
Filed under: uncultured bacterium
Lineage: Bacteria
Description: partial 16S ribosomal RNA
Rfam family: Bacterial small subunit ribosomal RNA
Source: RNAcentral
UACGUAGGGGGCGAGCGUUGUCCGGAAUUAUUGGGCGUAAAGAGCUCGUAGGCGGUUCGAUAAGUCGGACGUGAAAUCUCCACGCUCAACGUGGAGGGGCCGUUCGAUACUGUCGUGACUCGAGUCCGGUAGGGGAGUGUGGAAUUCCCGGUGUAGCGGUGAAAUGCGCAGAGAUCGGGAGGAACACCCGUAGCGAAGGCGGCACUCUGGGCCGGUACUGACGCUGAGGAGCGAAAGCGUGGGGAGCAAACAGG